Molecule: long non-coding RNA, 323 nt
Organism: Oreochromis aureus
Lineage: Eukaryota; Metazoa; Chordata; Actinopteri; Cichliformes; Cichlidae
Source: Ensembl
CUAGAGUGAGACAGCUCAACUGCCAGAGUGAGAGGAGCAAAAAAAUUAAUCUUAAAAUCUUUUUUAAAACUGCUGCUGUGUCCGCAGCGUUUGCUCUACAGGUAUGAUUUUACCCUCAAAACGUAGCCAUCGCUGUCCUCUUUGAUCCAAUGUGUUUACUAUUGUCCUAGGUGUUAUGGUUCUUUCAUAAAUGUCACCAAAGCACAGACUCCUCCCUCCAACUCCUCCAUAGACUCCAAUGUUAAAAUGGCUCAGAAAGUUCCUUUGAAAAUCAGAAGAGCAGGCUGUCUUUACACUGUCACCACGUCCAUAUAAUAAACUCC